CCAUUUUACACACUUACCAUACCUACACAAACACACACUGCAUUAUAUAAACACACUACACAAACACACUCUGCAUUCAUUAUAUACACACACUAGACAAACACACUGCAUUCACUAUACACCCACACACUGCACAAGCUCUGCAUUCAUUAUAUACACACACACACUGCAUUCACUUUACGCAAACUACACACUACAUUCACUAUACACACAUAACACACUACGCAAACACUCACUGCAUUCACUAUACACACUACACAAACACACUGCAUUCAUUAUAUACACACUACAUCCAUACUACACAAACACACAGUGCAUCCACUACACAAACAUACACUGCAUUUACUAAUCAAAUACUCUCACUGCAUCCACUACACACACAUAUAUUCUUAAAAACAUAAAAGAUUCUGACUGGCAUGUAUAUUUUGUGCAUUUACCUUAAUAAAAAAAUAAAUAAUAAACAUGUUCAGUUAACAGUAGAUUUGUGUAGAAAGUUUAUUUUUUCAAAAUGGUAAAUGUACAGAAUAUCGGUAAGUUCUAUUGGAGCAGCACGAAGAUAGUCACCCUUACGCCAAUCUCCAUCAGACCCCAAUGCUUCUCUGUGAAAAGCCCUGGAUUAGCCUUAAAAAUCCCUACUAGUGCGAAGAAAUUCUCUAACAGCUGGAUUAGAGGUAGUUUUAGGGGUACAGUGGGCCAGAAAUCUACAGCAACAAUUCAGCACUCCAGCAUUAUAAAUAAAUAUUUGUUUACAAUGCUGGUGCAUUUCUCUAAAUCUUUGAAUAGAUUUGCAUGUGCCUUCCCUAAUGAAGAUAUUUUAUAUCUAACCUUAACAUUGUGCCUGCUUAUUUAUAAGUGCAUUUCAGUGGAAGGUUAGCAGUAGACUUGUGCACAAACUAAUUAAAUGCCUUUUACCUUUGUGCCUUAAUGAAUCACAUCUUCCAGGAUUUAUCUGUGGAGCCUUAUUCACUAAACAAAAAUUCACAGUUAAAGGGACACUAUAGUCACCUGAACAACUUUAGCUUAAUGAAGCAGUUUUGGUGUAUAGAACAUGCCCCUGCAGCCUCACUGCUCAAUCCUCUGCCAUUUAGGAGUUAAAUCUCUUUGUUUAUGAACCCUAGUCACACCUCCCUGCAUGUGACUUGCACAGCCUUCUAUAAACACUUCCUGUAAAGAGAGCCCUAUUUAGGCUUUCUCUAUUGCAAGUUCUGUUUAAUUAAGAUUUUCUUAUCCCCUGCUAUGUUAAUAGCUUGCUAGACCCUGCAAGAGCCUCCUGUAUGUGAUUAAAGUUCAAUUUUGAGAUUGAGAUACAAUUAUUUAAGGUAAAUUACAUCUGUUUGAAAGUGAAACCAGUUUUUUUUUCAUGCAGGCUCUGUCAAUCAAAGCCAGGGGAGGUGUGGCUAGGGCUUCAUAAACAGAAACAAAGUGAUUUAACUCCUAAAUGACAGUGAAUUGAGCAGUGAAAUUGCAGGGGAAUGAUCUAUACACUAAAACUGCUUUAUUUAGCUAAAGAAAUUUAGGUGACUAUAGUGUUCCUUUAAAUACUGGAUGGAUCGAUUCACUCAGGUGCAGGUUAAAAGGAAUUUGAUUUGUCCUUGCCAGCUGAAACGAAUUGUGCACAAGUCUAGUUAGCAAUAGUUCCAAGAGUGAUGUCUUGGGAAACAGUGCAUAUAAGAGGUGACAUGUUUUAUGGUACUCCUGUGUUUUUAUAACAUAAAUAUAUUCUUAAAGUGUCACUAUAGUUUUAAACCAAUGUUUGCUUCAGCUGAGGCCAAAAGUUAUUUUUCAAAUACCCUUCAAACUCUGAAAAGAGACAAGUGUACAUUUUAAAACACAUUUUGUUUCACUUGUCUUGAUUUACUAAUUGCUGAUCAGCUUGGUCGCCUGCUUCUUCCCAAAUCCUAGUGCCUUUAAAAAUAUGAAGUUCUUUUUUACAAAAGGCAUAAAAUAGAUUUCUUCACUUUAAAGCGGCACUGUCAUGCCGAAUCCUGUUUUUUUUUUAACCCCCCUCCCGCCUCCACUAUCUCUAAUUGACACCGUGGUCACCCCCAAAUGCCCUUAAGCCACCCACAUUACCUACUUUUUAAUCUUUAUUUUCUGCCCCGAUCUUUAUUCAGGGCGCCGCCAUCUUUGUGUGGGUAGAGGAAGUCCCUGUGGGACACGUCAUCUGCCCACACUAGACAGACUGUGAGAUUCCCGCACAUGCCCAGUGAAACACCUGGACAUGCGAACGGGAAUUUCAUCUAAUCAUUCAUUCAUCAGACAGACGAAUGAAUGAAUAGAAAAAUCAGACGAACAAACUAACACUGUGUAUCAGUGUUCAUUUGUUCGUGCAGUUUAUUACAAGGAGGGAGCUACCGGCACGCAGCUCCCUCCUUG
Non-coding RNA from Pelobates cultripes (western spadefoot toad), 2376 nucleotides. The record is from the annotation of a GenBank genome assembly. NCBI's taxonomy places the organism in Eukaryota, Metazoa, Chordata, Amphibia, Anura, Pelobatidae.